This 433-nucleotide ribosomal RNA is filed under the name uncultured bacterium. RNAcentral describes it as "partial 16S ribosomal RNA". It matches the Rfam family "Bacterial small subunit ribosomal RNA", at positions 29 to 507 of the family's 1533-position model. The record is from RNAcentral.
AACGAACGCUGGCGGCAUGCCUAACACAUGCAAGUCGAACGAAGGCUUCGGCCUUAGUGGCGCACGGGUGCGUAACGCGUGGGAAUCUGCCCUUUGCUUCGGAAUAACAGUUAGAAAUGACUGCUAAUACCGGAUGAUGUCGCAAGACCAAAGAUUUAUCGGCAAAGGAUGAGCCCGCGUAGGAUUAGCUAGUUGGUGGGGUAAAGGCCUACCAAGGCGACGAUCCUUAGCUGGUCUGAGAGGAUGAUCAGCCACACUGGGACUGAGACACGGCCCAGACUCCUACGGGAGGCAGCAGUGGGGAAUAUUGGGCAAUGGGCGAAAGCCUGAUCCAGCAAUGCCGCGUGAGUGAUGAAGGCCUUAGGGUUGUAAAGCUCUUUUACCCGGGAUGAUAAUGACAGUACCGGGAGAAUAAGCUCCGGCUAACUCCGUG